UGUGUUGUAGCUUAGUGGUAGGACACUUGCCUAACAUGCAUGAGGCACUGGGUUCAAUCCCCAGCACCACAU
RNAcentral lists this transfer RNA (72 nucleotides) under Ictidomys tridecemlineatus (thirteen-lined ground squirrel). RNAcentral's name for it is "Spermophilus tridecemlineatus (thirteen-lined ground squirrel) tRNA". It matches the Rfam family "tRNA". From Rfam's summary of the family: Transfer RNA (tRNA) molecules are approximately 80 nucleotides in length. Lineage: Eukaryota; Metazoa; Chordata; Mammalia; Rodentia; Sciuridae. The record is from Rfam by way of RNAcentral.